GCCCUACCCUCGCCGCCUAAGCCUGCCCUCCGCCAGACGGGUCCCCUCCCCGCGGCACCACGGCUUCCCUUCAACAGCAAGGCGACGGGGGCUUCCCCUCAGCAGCCGCCGGCGCCUCAGUCUCCGCAGCCGGCCAAGCUCCGCCGCGCCCGCGGCCCGCGGCCGCCAUGCAGUUUAUGUUGCUUUUUAGUCGUCAGGGAAAGCUGAGGCUGCAGAAAUGGUAUGUCCCGCUGUCAGACAAAGAGAAGAAGAAGAUCACAAGAGAACUUGUUCAAACCGUUUUAGCACGGAAACCUAAAAUGUGCAGCUUCCUUGAGUGGAGAGAUCUGAAAAUUGUUUAUAAAAGAUAUGCCAGUCUAUAUUUUUGCUGUGCUAUUGAGGAUCAGGACAAUGAACUGAUUACCCUGGAAAUAAUCCAUCGUUACGUGGAAUUACUUGACAAGUAUUUUGGCAGUGUGUGUGAACUUGAUAUCAUCUUUAAUUUUGAGAAGGCCUAUUUUAUUUUGGAUGAAUUUCUUUUGGGAGGAGAAGUUCAGGAAACAUCCAAGAAAAAUGUCCUUAAAGCAAUUGAGCAGGCUGAUCUCUUGCAGGAGAGCCAGAAUGAAGAAUGGGGAGGUUUGUCUGAGGAUAUCUUAUGAUAAAGAACAGUCUAAGACUUUAGUUCCUUUGACCCCCAACUUAUUUAUUGGAAGCUGAAACCCCACGUAGUGUUCUUGAAGAAAUUGGACUGACAUAACUGUCCUCCCUUGCUGAUGACUUCUUGUGGCAUUUCACACACUGUAGAUGGUCACUGCCUCUCAUGUCCAUGUUAGCUAAUGGUGUAAGAUGAUGUCUUGUCAGUAUUACUGUUUUGCUAAGCUGCUUCAUUCAGGCCUACACAAUUUUUUUAAGGGAACUUUGGUUAAUCAAAUAACUUAAGGGACACAAAUAUGAGUUAGAAAGAUGUAGAAAAAUUAACAUACCAUUUCUGGACAUUUUAAAAUUAAAGGUCAGUCUCAUAAUUAUGUGCACAUAUAAAAAUAAUGUCUAUAUACAUAUAUAUAUAUAUCUCAAACAAUUUGGCAAAAUACAUUUACUUCUGUACGUGAGAAAGGAAACUUAAAUUAUGUGAAACCUGGUUUGAUAAAACCAAAGACAACAGUAAUAUUUCAGUAUAUAUAAGAAUAAAGGGAACUGACACAUUACAGAUCAAAUCAAUGAAAGUUUAUUGAAAAUUUAAACCAAAUUUAUACCAAAGACCCUUAUUGGAUAUAACAUACAUUAAAACAAAGGGAAUAUAGAUACUUUUAGAGGACUAACUUAGAAUGAUGCUGUUUUACACCAAAAUUCAUUAAGUAUUCUGAAUUAGUGGGACAAGGAACAAAGACUUUCCUAUUCUUGAGCACAUAAUUUUUAAGGCCAAGGAACAUUUGACUCCCCAAGGUGAAGUUUUAGUGGUCAUAAUCAUGUAGUUACUUGUUUUCAGUGCCCCAAAAUAAAGUAGGACUGUUAUUUACUAGAUAUUCUUCGUAACCGUAUGUUGCUCUCUUCACAAAGUGUUACAUAAAGUCAUUAUCUACAGCAUGAACGUUCCUUCUGGGAUGCUUGUUAAAGCCAAAUUUAUUUUGCUUCCCUAUUGCUUCCUUCCAGUUAGAAGUGCUACAGACUUGACAGCAGCUCCCUUUCCUUUCAUGUCACUACCUAGUCGUCUGAAGUCUUAUGAAAAUUUAAAAGAUAACUUUCGUAUAGCAAAGUGAGAGUUGACUGAAGCAAAUGGCAUUGGUUGGCCCUAUAUUUUUUCAAGCUAUAUAAAUGCUCGGCAUCACUUUUUACAUAUUAAUACAUACCUGAACACAUCUCCCUGAUUUCUACGUUCCCUUGUUAAUGCUAGGCUGGAGUACGCUUUGCUGUGAUUGUGAACAACUUUCAAGCCACCUGAACACUGUCUUAUCACUUCACCAAUUAAUGGUAAUAAAUGUUUUGCAAACA
Acomys russatus (golden spiny mouse) is the source of this 1968-nucleotide RNA transcript. It is a transcript of the gene named adaptor related protein complex 1 subunit sigma 2, with no coding region annotated. The transcript has 6 exons. The record is from RefSeq and is a predicted model, not a curated record. Lineage: Eukaryota; Metazoa; Chordata; Mammalia; Rodentia; Muridae.